CUACUUAUUGACGAAUCCGUGGCGUUCAAAGGUAGUCCGAUUAUAUCAAACAAAGUCUCUGACCGAACAAAACAGUAUAUCCCAUUUUCAAAUAAAUUCUUCAGGAUGCUAGUCAUUUUGUCUUUUUGGUCAACAUUAAAUCGUUAAUAGAAUAAGUUAUUGUCAGUAAUAAAAUAAUGUAAUAAUGUUGAAUAUUCAACACAGUAUAUAAGUCUCUUU
RNAcentral lists this long non-coding RNA (219 nucleotides) under Mytilus galloprovincialis (Mediterranean mussel). Lineage: Eukaryota; Metazoa; Mollusca; Bivalvia; Mytilida; Mytilidae. The record is from RNAcentral.